Molecule: non-coding RNA, 280 nt
Organism: Salvelinus sp. IW2-2015
Lineage: Eukaryota; Metazoa; Chordata; Actinopteri; Salmoniformes; Salmonidae
Source: RefSeq, a predicted model, not a curated record
AGACUAUUGGAUUUCCCACCACUACAAUGUCAACCUGCUGUGCAACACAGAUCCGUGUUGUGUGUUCCGAGCUGCGACUGUUCUCUCUGACUCCUGGCUCCAGCUCCGCAGCCAGCUGUGGCCAGAGCACCAUAGCUUCGAAUUCAUCUCCAACCUUAUACAAGCCCUGGAUGGCACGGUUAUGACAAGAGAGAGAUUGAGGAUCCUGACCCUUCAGUUCUUCCCUCCGUCUCCUCCUCUCCGGAGAAACUUCUCAACUUCACUUCAUCUGUUUUCUCCA